ACUUUCCAAGGAAGGCAGCAGGCGCGCAAAUUACCCAAUCCCGACACGGGGAGGUAGUGACAAUAAAUAACAAUACAGGGCUCUUUCGGGUCUCGUAAUUGGAAUGAGUACAAUUUAAAUCCCUUAACGAGGAACAAUUGGAGGGCAAGNNNGGUGCCAGCAGCCGCGGUAAUUCCAGCUCCAAUAGCGUAUAUUAAAGUUGUUGCAGUUAAAAAGCUCGUAGUUGAAUUUCGGGAUUGACGUGAUGGUCGUGCCUUAAGGGGUAUGAACUGUCGCAGUUGAUUUCUCACCUUCUGGAGAAGCAUGAUGUCCUUAAUUGGGUGUCAUGUGGAACCAGGACCUUUACCUUGAAAAAAUUAGAGUGUUUAAAGCAGGCAUUUUGCUCGAAUACAUUAGCAUGGAAUAAUAGAAUAGGACGGCAUGGUUCUAUUUUGUUGGUUUCUAGGAUCACCGUAAUGAUUAAUAGGGAUAGUUGGGGGCAUUAGUAUUCAAUUGUCAGAGGUGAAAUUCUUGGAUUUAUUGAAGACUANCUACUGCGAAAGCAUUUGCCAAGGAUGUUUUCAUUAAUCAAGAACGAAAGUUAGGG
This 586-nucleotide ribosomal RNA is filed under the name uncultured fungus. Its description in RNAcentral is "SSU rRNA". It matches the Rfam family "Eukaryotic small subunit ribosomal RNA", at positions 412 to 995 of the family's 1831-position model. The record is from RNAcentral. Lineage: Eukaryota; Fungi.